Molecule: ribosomal RNA, 265 nt
Filed under: uncultured bacterium
Lineage: Bacteria
Description: partial 16S ribosomal RNA
Rfam family: Bacterial small subunit ribosomal RNA
Source: RNAcentral
GUCCCGACAGUAAACGAUGGGCACUAGGUGUCGGAGGUAUCGACCCCUCCGGUGCCGCAGUUAACACAUUAAGUGCCCCGCCUGGGGAGUACGGCCGCAAGGUUGAAACUCAAAGGAAUUGACGGGGGCCCGCACAAGCGGUGGAGUAUGUGGUUUAAUUCGACGCAACGCGAAGAACCUUACCUGGGCUUGACAUGCAGGAGACAGGGUUAGAAGUAACCCCUCGUCUUCGGACGUUCCUGCACAGGUGCUGCAUGGCUGUCGU